AGUUUGAUCCUGGCUCAGGACGAACGCUGGCGGCGUGCCUAACACAUGCAAGUCGAACGGGGUAGCAAUACCCAGUGGCGAACGGGUGCGUAACACGUGAGAAAUCUAACAUUCGGCGGGGGAUAGCCGGCCCAACGGCCGGGUAAUACCGCGUACGACCUUUGAGGGGCAUCCCUCGAUGGUGAAAGCCGCAAGGCGCCGAUGGAGAACUUCGCGGCCUAUCAGCUAGUUGGUGAGGUCAUGGCUCACCAAGGCGACGACGGGUAGCUGGUCCGAGAGGAUGACCAGCCACAUUGGGACUGAGACACGGUCCAGACUCCUACGGGAGGCAGCAGUGGGGAAUAUUGCGCAAUGGGCGAAAGCCUGACGCAGCAACGCCGCGUGAGUGAUGAAGGCCUUCGGGUCGUAAAGCUCUGUGGGGAGGGACGAACACGUCGCGAGCUAAUAUCUUGCGGCUCUGACGGUACCUCCUUAGCAAGCACCGGCUAACCCUGUGCCAGCAGCCGCGGUAAUAC
RNAcentral lists this ribosomal RNA (515 nucleotides) under uncultured bacterium. Its description in RNAcentral is "bacterial SSU rRNA". It matches the Rfam family "Bacterial small subunit ribosomal RNA", at positions 10 to 526 of the family's 1533-position model. The record is from RNAcentral.